UGGGGAAUAUUGGACAAUGGGCGAAAGCCUGAUCCAGCCAUGCCGCGUGUGUGAAGAAGGUCUUCGGAUUGUAAAGCACUUUAAGUUGGGAGGAAGGGCAGUUACCUAAUACGUGAUUGUUUUGACGUUACCGACAGAAUAAGCACCGGCUAACUCUGUGCCAGCAGCCGCGGUAAUACAGAGGGUGCAAGCGUUAAUCGGAAUUACUGGGCGUAAAGCGCGCGUAGGUGGUUUGUUAAGUUGGAUGUGAAAUCCCCGGGCUCAACCUGGGAACUGCAUUCAAAACUGACUGACUAGAGUAUGGUAGAGGGUGGUGGAAUUUCCUGUGUAGCGGUGAAAUGCGUAGAUAUAGGAAGGAACACCAGUGGCGAAGGCGACCACCGGGACUAAUACUGACACUGAGGUGCGAAAGCGUGGGGAGCAAACA
This 427-nucleotide ribosomal RNA is filed under the name Pseudomonas sp. Its description in RNAcentral is "partial 16S ribosomal RNA". It matches the Rfam family "Bacterial small subunit ribosomal RNA", at positions 355 to 774 of the family's 1533-position model. RNAcentral also lists the same sequence under 1 other name. The record is from RNAcentral. Lineage: Bacteria; Pseudomonadati; Pseudomonadota; Gammaproteobacteria; Pseudomonadales; Pseudomonadaceae.